RNAcentral lists this ribosomal RNA (508 nucleotides) under uncultured bacterium. RNAcentral's name for it is "partial 16S ribosomal RNA". It matches the Rfam family "Bacterial small subunit ribosomal RNA", at positions 28 to 507 of the family's 1533-position model. The record is from RNAcentral.
GACGAACGCUGGCGGCGUGCCUAAUACAUGCAAGUCGAACGCUUCUUUCCUCCCGAGUGCUUGCACUCAAUUGGAAAGAGGAGUGGCGUACGGGUGAGUAACACGUGGGUAACCUACCCAUCAGAGGGGGAUAACACUUGGAAACAGGUGCUAAUACCGCAUAACAGUUUAUGCCGCAUGGCAUAAGAGUGAAAGGCGCUUUCGGGUGUCGCUGAUGGAUGGACCCGCGGUGCAUUAGCUAGUUGGUGAGGUAACGGCUCACCAAGGCCACGAUGCAUAGCCGACCUGAGAGGGUGAUCGGCCACACUGGGACUGAGACACGGCCCAGACUCCUACGGGAGGCAGCAGUAGGGAAUCUUCGGCAAUGGACGAAAGUCUGACCGAGCAACGCCGCGUGAGUGAAGAAGGUUUUCGGAUCGUAAAACUCUGUUGUUAGAGAAGAACAAGGACGUUAGUAACUGAACGUCCCCUGACGGUAUCUAACCAGAAAGCCACGGCUAACUACGUG